This is a non-coding RNA of Eptesicus fuscus (big brown bat), 428 nucleotides long. The record is from the annotation of a RefSeq genome assembly. NCBI's taxonomy places the organism in Eukaryota, Metazoa, Chordata, Mammalia, Chiroptera, Vespertilionidae.
CUGGGGGACGACGACCUCACCUGCAAGACAUGACUCCCAUGUGGCUCUUCCUCUUCCUGCUGUCAGCUCCCAGAUGUGUCCUGUCCCAGGUGCAGCUGCAGCAGUCGGGCCCAGGACUGGUGAUGCCCUCGCAGACCCUCUCUCUCACCUGCACUGUGUCUGGUUACUCCAUCACCAGUGGUUACUGCUGGAGCUGGGUCCGCCAGCCCCCAGGGAAAGGACUGGAGUGGAUGGGGUGCAUAAAUGAAAACGGAAACCUUUACUACAGCCCCUCCCUCAAGAGCCGAACCUCCAUCUCCAGGGACGUGUCUAAGAACCAGUUCUCCCUGCAGCUGAGUUCCGUGACCACUGAGGACACGGCUGUGUAUUACUGUUCAAGAGACACAGUGAGGAGAAGUCAGUGUGAGCCCAGACACAAACUUCCCUGA